UACGUAGGGGGCAAGCGUUGUCCGGAUUUAUUGGGCGUAAAGAGCGUGUAGGCGGCCUGGAAGGUCCGUUGUGAAAACUCGAGGCUCAACCUCGAGACGUCGAUGGAAACCCGCAGGCUAGAGUCCGGAAGAGGAGAGUGGAAUUCCUGGUGUAGCGGUGAAAUGCGCAGAUAUCAGGAAGAACACCUAUGGCGAAGGCAGCUCUCUGGGACGGUACUGACGCUGAGACGCGAAAGCGUGGGGAGCGAACAGG
Molecule: ribosomal RNA, 253 nt
Filed under: uncultured bacterium
Lineage: Bacteria
Description: partial 16S ribosomal RNA
Rfam family: Bacterial small subunit ribosomal RNA
Source: RNAcentral